UACCCUUUCCUCCGUUAGUGAGGUUGCAGAGAAAAAUAAAACUGGGGGCGUUUUUGACACUAGUUCACUGCAGGGUGGGAUGAACAAACAGGUACCAAUGGAAGGCACACACCAAAGAAAGUCAGUCAAGGACGUUGGUACAUUUGGAUUCAAUGAAAUUUCAUGUCCAAAUUGACAGCUCCGGACAGCUGGACAGUUGUAACAUCACUGCCUAUCGAAUACCAACGUGUUUAUCAACAAUAACGUUUUGAUGUGUCUCUGCUGCAGUCGUUCAAGUAAGUCUGGUGCCGUCGUUGCUUCAUCGUUUUUUAGCAUUUAGUUGGUCCGAGCAAGUGGGGAAAAAGGCCUCACAAGUUACCUCCUGAACUGGCUUCUUAAUUUCCGUUCAGUCCACCAAGGAAGACAGAAUCUAUACUCUACCUUGCCAGUGCUAGAACAUGAGAUACGCCACUGCCUAAACGUUAUCUAUUUCAGUUAUCCGUCCAUCAUUACAAUUUCUAAUUUAAAUGACAUACAUCAGAGGAUUGGAAUGGAAGAGUCGGUUGAGAAAUAAUGCUAUAGCCUCUACUCUUAAUAAGCAUUGUGUUGCCUAGUAUUGUCUAUUCAUUCCACUACAAAAAUGGUGCCAUCGCAUAGCCAACGUCGUCAAUGUCAUGUAAUUUGUGGGCUUAAACGAUGCCGUGGUGUUAUCGCAGAUUGCAUGAUACAACGGGUGCUCUACGUUUGCAGGUUAACCUGUAUUUUUGACCCUGUCUAGAAGAAGGUGGGGUGAGAAGAAUCGCCGGCAGUGGAGACAGAAGUUGAUGGCUUGCCAACAAUAUGGUUUCAGUCCUUUACGACGGGGUGCAGUGUGGCGAAAUCAACUACCAUUGCUGAUUAAAAACACAUUCAGGUAAUUAAAAUCUAAUAUGAAUCAUACAGUGAAC
RNAcentral lists this long non-coding RNA (926 nucleotides) under Daphnia magna. RNAcentral's name for it is "uncharacterized LOC116927288, transcript variant X3". The record is from RNAcentral. Lineage: Eukaryota; Metazoa; Arthropoda; Branchiopoda; Diplostraca; Daphniidae.